UACGUAGGCGGAUCAGAAAGUAUAGGGUGAAAUCCCAGGGCUCAACCCUGGAACUGCCUUAUAAACUCCUGGUCUUGAGUUCGAGAGAGGUGAGUGGAAUUCCAAGUGUAGAGGUGAAAUUCGUAGAUAUUUGGAGGAACACCAGUGGCGAAGGCGGCUCACUGGCUCGAUACUGACGCUGAGGUACGAAAGUGUGGGGAGCAAACAGGAUUAGAUACCCUGGUAGUC
This 228-nucleotide ribosomal RNA is filed under the name uncultured bacterium. Its description in RNAcentral is "partial 16S ribosomal RNA". It matches the Rfam family "Bacterial small subunit ribosomal RNA", at positions 568 to 795 of the family's 1533-position model. The record is from RNAcentral.